This 319-nucleotide unclassified non-coding RNA is filed under the name chlamydia-associated clinical sample 39-T. Its description in RNAcentral is "intergenic spacer region". The record is from RNAcentral.
GACGACAUCAGCUGCUUCCAUAAGUUCCCACACGAAUUGCUUGAUUCAUUGAAGAAGACGGUAGAAGCGGAGUUAAAUCGUGGCUUCUCUAUCGUAAAGCUUAGAAAUGAACAUUCCAUCAUGCGAUGGUGAAUGUUGUUUCUGAUCUUUGAUUAGAUCGUCUUUAAAAUUUGGGUAUGUGAUAGAAGAUAGACUGGAUACACUUGCACUGUGUUAUCAGGCAGGCUAAGGUAAAAUUUGUGAGUUAAAUUGCGAAUUUUCGGCGAAUGUCGUCUUCAUAGUAUAACCAGAUUGCUUGGGGUUAUAUGGUCAAGUGAAG